CCAGACUCCUACGGGAGGCAGCAGUAGGGAAUAUUGCGCAAUGGGGGAAACCCUGACGCAGCAAUGCCACGUGAGUGAGGAAGGCUCUAGGGUCGUAAAGCUCUGUCCUAUAGGAAGAACGGCUUUGGGUAACGCCAAAGUUUGACGGUACUAUAGAAGAAAGCACCGGCUAACUCCGUGCCAGCAGCCGCGGUAACACGGAGGGCGCAAACGUUGCUCGGAAUCACUGGGCAUAAAGCGCACGUAGGCGGCCGUCUAAGUCGGGUGUGAAAGCCCUCGGCUCAACCGAGGAAU
RNAcentral lists this ribosomal RNA (294 nucleotides) under Isochrysis galbana. RNAcentral describes it as "partial Bacterial small subunit ribosomal RNA". It matches the Rfam family "Bacterial small subunit ribosomal RNA", at positions 331 to 621 of the family's 1533-position model. Lineage: Eukaryota; Haptophyta; Isochrysidales; Isochrysidaceae. The record is from RNAcentral.